This 48-nucleotide ribosomal RNA is filed under the name Pratylenchus coffeae. RNAcentral describes it as "partial 28S ribosomal RNA". Lineage: Eukaryota; Metazoa; Nematoda; Chromadorea; Rhabditida; Pratylenchidae. The record is from RNAcentral.
UUUCGACCUGAACUCAGAACGUGAAAUACCCGCUGAACUUAAGCAUAU